Non-coding RNA from Lonchura striata (white-rumped munia), 437 nucleotides. NCBI's taxonomy places the organism in Eukaryota, Metazoa, Chordata, Aves, Passeriformes, Estrildidae. The record is from RefSeq and is a predicted model, not a curated record.
UAUAAUCUUACCAAACAAUACAGCGCACAGCAAACGGAGAUUGCUGUCUUACAACAGCCCCUUAAUCAUGUCUGUAAGAGAUUCACAUGGCGUUGUCAAGUGUUUUCACAUCAGGAGCCUUGGAGCUGGACUUGUGGACUAUUUCUGCACCUGUUGGAGACUUUGACCUUCUGCAGGACUGGUGCUGAGGAGGAUUACACAGAACUUCAUCUGCUGCACCUUUCAGAAGGCAGCAGGGAGGACGCUGGAUGACAGCUCUCCAGCUCUCCCACUCCUCAGGUCUGGGACUUCGGCUGUGUCCCCUGACAGCAGGUACCAGAAUCAGCAAAUUACUCAUCCUCUGUGACAGCGAGGCAGCCCAGGAAAUUGCAGUUUGUCUUGAGCUUGUUAUUUGGUUCCCAAGUUUUUUGCUCAGUUAUUCUCCCAAAUUCCACCCU